RNAcentral lists this ribosomal RNA (1014 nucleotides) under Salmonella enterica subsp. enterica serovar Kentucky. RNAcentral describes it as "partial 23S ribosomal RNA". It matches the Rfam family "Bacterial large subunit ribosomal RNA", at positions 1219 to 2215 of the family's 2925-position model. Lineage: Bacteria; Pseudomonadati; Pseudomonadota; Gammaproteobacteria; Enterobacterales; Enterobacteriaceae. The record is from RNAcentral.
UGUUGUUGGGUAGGGGAGCGUUCUGUAAGCCUGCGAAGGUGUCCCGUGAGGGAUGCUGGAGGUAUCAGAAGUGCGAAUGCUGACAUAAGUAACGAUAAAGCGGGUGAAAAGCCCGCUCGCCGGAAGACCAAGGGUUCCUGUCCAACGUUAAUCGGGGCAGGGUGAGUCGACCCCUAAGGCGAGGCCGAAAGGCGUAGUCGAUGGGAAACGGGUUAAUAUUCCCGUACUUGGUGUUACUGCGAAGGGGGGACGGAGAAGGCUAUGUUGGCCGGGCGACGGUUGUCCCGGUUUAAGCGUGUAGGUGUGUGUUCCAGGUAAAUCCGGUUCACUUUAACACUGAGGCGUGACGACGAGGCACUACGGUGCUGAAGCAACAAAUGCCCUGCUUCCAGGAAAAGCCUCUAAGCAUCAGGUAACAUCAAAUCGUACCCCAAACCGACACAGGUGGUCAGGUAGAGAAUACCAAGGCGCUUGAGAGAACUCGGGUGAAGGAACUAGGCAAAAUGGUGCCGUAACUUCGGGAGAAGGCACGCUGACACGUAGGUGAAGUGAUUUACUCAUGGAGCUGAAGUCAGUCGAAGAUACCAGCUGGCUGCAACUGUUUAUUAAAAACACAGCACUGUGCAAACACGAAAGUGGACGUAUACGGUGUGACGCCUGCCCGGUGCCGGAAGGUUAAUUGAUGGGGUCAGCGCAAGCGAAGCUCCUGAUCGAAGCCCCGGUAAACGGCGGCCGUAACUAUAACGGUCCUAAGGUAGCGAAAUUCCUUGUCGGGUAAGUUCCGACCUGCACGAAUGGCGUAAUGAUGGCCAGGCUGUCUCCACCCGAGACUCAGUGAAAUUGAACUCGCUGUGAAGAUGCAGUGUACCCGCGGCAAGACGGAAAGACCCCGUGAACCUUUACUAUAGCUUGACACUGAACAUUGAGCCUUGAUGUGUAGGAUAGGUGGGAGGCUUUGAAGUGUGGACGCCAGUCUGCAUGGAGCCGACCUUGAAAUACCACCCUUUAAUGUUU